RNAcentral lists this unclassified non-coding RNA (170 nucleotides) under uncultured fungus. Its description in RNAcentral is "sequence contains ITS1". Lineage: Eukaryota; Fungi. The record is from RNAcentral.
UUAUUGUGUUAAUGUCCGAUCAAGGACUGGUUUCAUUCUUGACUUUUACGUGUUUAAAAAGGUGUAAAAACAGUUUGUGCACAGGGUAAGGAAAAUGAAUUUGGUCGGGCCUCUAAAAAGAGCACCCUUGAAUUUCAUUAAUGAUCCUUCCGCAGGUUCACCUACGGAAA